RNAcentral lists this transfer RNA (71 nucleotides) under Marmota marmota marmota (Alpine marmot). It matches the Rfam family "tRNA". From Rfam's summary of the family: Transfer RNA (tRNA) molecules are approximately 80 nucleotides in length. Their secondary structure includes four short double-helical elements and three loops (D, anti-codon, and T loops). RNAcentral also lists the same sequence under 1 other name. Lineage: Eukaryota; Metazoa; Chordata; Mammalia; Rodentia; Sciuridae. The record is from Rfam by way of RNAcentral.
GGGGUUGUGGCUCAGGGGUAGAGCACCAGCCUGGCAUGUGUGAGGCAUUGGGUUGGAUUCCCAGCACCUCA